Spinacia oleracea (spinach) is the source of this 947-nucleotide long non-coding RNA. RefSeq lists it as uncharacterized. NCBI's taxonomy places the organism in Eukaryota, Viridiplantae, Streptophyta, Magnoliopsida, Caryophyllales, Amaranthaceae. The record is from RefSeq and is a predicted model, not a curated record. The transcript has 4 exons.
CGCUAUUGAAGAUAUCAUUUAUAGCGUACUAUAGCGUUUUAAAAAUAAGCCCUAUUAAAAGUCGACUUACAACAGCGCUUUCUACAAAGCCCUAUAAAAAAGUUAUUAAAAAAAUAAAAAUAUAAAUAAAAAUAAAAGUAAAAGAGCUUUUGAAUACCAAUUACCAAAUUAUAGUCAGACCCUUUGUUCUUCUUUCCGUAUUUAUGGUUUUCUCUCAAAAGAAAACCCUUAUAAACAUUUCUUUUCAAUCCUCCGCCCCAUUCAAUUUCUUAGUUCCAAUUUCAUGGAUAUUAGAGGAGCUCGCAAUAGAGGGCAUGCUCAGGCUAUUCAUAGGGAAAAAACGGCUUCAAAAAAUCUUGUAUAAGGAGUUAAUCAUGCUAUCAGGACUGCUCAAUUCUCCCUGUGUUCGGAGAAGCUUGUUCAGAUAAAUGAAGCUUGCUUUGGGGGACUACUUUUUGGUUAUGAUAUUGGUGCUACAUCCUCUGCCACAAUUUCAUUUCAGGUCGUGCUCUUCACAAACUCGGGUAUGGAAGCAAAUGAGUUGGCCUUAAUGAUGGCAAUGUUGUACACUGGAUGGCAGGACAUUAAUCCUUGAGGAAUGCUUACCAUGGAAACACAGCUGGAACUAUAGGUGCAACUGCUCAGUGCAAUUGGGAGUUCAAUGUUACUCAGUACUUUUCAGAUUGUCAGUUUUCAAGUUAUGACAAAGAGCAGAUUGACGUAGUAGGAACUCUGUGGGUGCGCCAUGUUAUUCAACAAUUGUAUAAUAACUAGGUGACGUUGAAGGAACAAAAAACAUACAACUCUAGUAAUUGAUGUAUUUUGUGUAGUGCAAUGUUUGUAAUCUUAUUUUAGAACAUAUUAUGUAAUCGGUUUUAUUAAGAUGACAAUUGCAAAAUUCAUUGAGGUUUGGAAAUUAAUAUUCAACUAUUUACUACACUCUUCAA